This 476-nucleotide ribosomal RNA is filed under the name uncultured bacterium. RNAcentral's name for it is "bacterial SSU rRNA". It matches the Rfam family "Bacterial small subunit ribosomal RNA", at positions 26 to 518 of the family's 1533-position model. The record is from RNAcentral.
AGGACGAACGCUGGCGGCGUGCCUAACACAUGCAAGUCGAGCGAGGAGAUCCUCGGGAUGAUCCUAGCGGCGGACGGGUGAGUAACACGUGGGCAACCUGCCUCAUAGAGAGGAAUAGCCUUCCGAAAGGGAGAUUAAUACCUCAUAACAUUGCAGUUUCGCAUGGAACAGCAAUUAAAGGAGCAAUCCGCUAUGAGAUGGGGCCCCGCGGCGCAUUAGCUAGUUGGUGAGGUAACGGCUCACCAAGGCGACGAUGCGUAGCCGACCUGAGAGGGUGAUCGGCCACAUUGGGACUGAGACACGGCCCAGACUCCUACGGGAGGCAGCAGUGGGGAAUAUUGCACAAUGGGGGAAACCCUGAUGCAAGCAACGCCGCGUGAGUGAUGACGGCCUUCGGGUUGUAAAGCUCUGUCUUCAGGGACGAUAAUGACGGUACCUGAGGAGGAAGCCACGGCUAACUACGUGCCAGCAGCCGC